GAUGAACGCUGGCGGCGUGCCUAAUACAUGCAAGUCGAGCGAACGGACGAGAAGCUUGCUUCUCUGAUGUUAGCGGCGGACGGGUGAGUAACACGUGGAUAACCUACCUAUAAGACUGGGAUAACUUCGGGAAACCGGAGCUAAUACCGGAUAAUAUUUUGAACCGCAUGGUUCAAAAGUGAAAGACGGUCUUGCUGUCACUUAUAGAUGGAUCCGCGCUGCAUUAGCUAGUUGGUAAGGUAACGGCUUACCAAGGCAACGAUGCAUAGCCGACCUGAGAGGGUGAUCGGCCACACUGGAACUGAGACACGGUCCAGACUCCUACGGGAGGCAGCAGUAGGGAAUCUUCCGCAAUGGGCGAAAGCCUGACGGAGCAACGCCGCGUGAGUGAUGAAGGUCUUCGGAUCGUAAAACUCUGUUAUUAGGGAAGAACAUAUGUGUAAGUAACUGUGCACAUCUUGACGGUACCUAAUCAGAAAGCCACGGCUAACUACGUGCCAGCAGCCGCGGUAAUACGUAAGUGGCAAGCGUUAUCCGGAAUUAUUGGGCGUAAAGCGCGUAGCGGUUUUUUAAGUCUGAUGUGAAAGCCCACGGCUCAACCGUGGAGGGUCAUUGGAAACUGGAAAACUUGAGUGCAGAAGAGGAAAGUGGAAUUCCACGUGUAGCGGUGAAAUGCGCAGAGAUAUGGAGGAACACCAGUGGCGAAGGCGACUUUCUGGUCUGUAACUGACGCUGAUGUGCGAAAGCGUGGGGAUCAAACAGGAUUAGAUACCCUGGUAGUCCACGCCGUAAACGAUGAGUGCUAAGUGUUAGGGGGUUUCCGCCCCUUAGUGCUGCAGCUAACGCAUUAAGCACUCCGCCUGGGGAGUACGACCGCAAGGUUGAAACUCAAAGGAAUUGACGGGGACCCGCACAAGCGGUGGAGCAUGUGGUUUAAUUCGAAGCAACGCGAAGAACCUUACCAAAUCUUGACAUCCUUUGACAACUCUAGAGAUAGAGCCUUCCCCUUCGGGGGACAAAGUGACAGGUGGUGCAUGGUUGUCGUCAGCUCGUGUCGUGAGAUGUUGGGUUAAGUCCCGCAACGAGCGCAACCCUUAAGCUUAGUUGCCAUCAUUAAGUUGGGCACUCUAAGUUGACUGCCGGUGACAAACCGGAGGAAGGUGGGGAUGACGUCAAAUCAUCAUGCCCCUUAUGAUUUGGGCUACACACGUGCUACAAUGGACAAUACAAAGGGCAGCGAAACCGCGAGGUCAAGCAAAUCCCAUAAAGUUGUUCUCAGUUCGGAUUGUAGUCUGCAACUCGACUACAUGAAGCUGGAAUCGCUAGUAAUCGUAGAUCAGCAUGCUACGGUGAAUACGUUCCCGGGUCU
This 1369-nucleotide ribosomal RNA is filed under the name uncultured bacterium. RNAcentral describes it as "bacterial SSU rRNA". It matches the Rfam family "Bacterial small subunit ribosomal RNA", at positions 28 to 1381 of the family's 1533-position model. The record is from RNAcentral.